GUCUUUCCUAGCCAUCCGCCAUGG
RNAcentral lists this non-coding RNA (24 nucleotides) under Cricetulus griseus (Chinese hamster). The record is from RNAcentral. Lineage: Eukaryota; Metazoa; Chordata; Mammalia; Rodentia; Cricetidae.